Molecule: microRNA precursor, 127 nt
Filed under: Myotis davidii
Lineage: Eukaryota; Metazoa; Chordata; Mammalia; Chiroptera; Vespertilionidae
Description: mir-9193 microRNA precursor family
Source: Rfam by way of RNAcentral
CGUGUACCGGUGGGGUCCCUUGGCCUGGCCUGUGGGGAUCGGGCCAAAACCAGCUCUCCAACUUCCUCUGAGGGGUCCCAAAUUGUGAGAGGGUGCAGGCCAGGCCAAGGGACCCCAACGGUGCACG